GCGGACAUAGUCUAGUGGUAAAACCCCAGCUUCCCAAGCUGGAGAUGCGGGUUCGAUUCCCGUUGUCCGCUCCA
This 74-nucleotide transfer RNA is filed under the name Clostridiales bacterium. Its description in RNAcentral is "tRNA-Gly". It matches the Rfam family "tRNA". From Rfam's summary of the family: Transfer RNA (tRNA) molecules are approximately 80 nucleotides in length. Their secondary structure includes four short double-helical elements and three loops (D, anti-codon, and T loops). RNAcentral also lists the same sequence under 1 other name. Lineage: Bacteria; Bacillati; Bacillota; Clostridia; Eubacteriales. The record is from RNAcentral.